Colletotrichum higginsianum is the source of this 120-nucleotide non-coding RNA. The record is from Rfam. NCBI's taxonomy places the organism in Eukaryota, Fungi, Ascomycota, Sordariomycetes, Glomerellales, Glomerellaceae.
ACAUACGACCAUACCCACUGGAGAACUCGGGAUCCCGUCCGCUCUCCCAUAGAUAAGCCAGUGAGGGCCGGAUUAGUAGUUGGGUCGGUGACGACCAGCGAAUAGCUGGUGUUGUAUGUU